RNAcentral lists this ribosomal RNA (1406 nucleotides) under Parapolybia varia. RNAcentral describes it as "16S ribosomal RNA". Lineage: Eukaryota; Metazoa; Arthropoda; Insecta; Hymenoptera; Vespidae. The record is from RNAcentral.
UUUUUAUAUAAAUUAAUUUAAAUUAUUUUAUAAAUAAUUUUUUUUUUUAUGUUUAUUUAAUUUUUAUUAAUUAAUAUUAUAUUAAUUUUUAUUUGUUUUAGUAAUAAUUUAAAUGAAUUUUCUUUAAUUUAAUUUUAGUAAUGAAAAUGAAUAUCUUUAAAAUUUAUUAAGUAAAUUUAAUUUAUUGUACCUUUUGUAUCAGGGUUAAUUAAUAAAAAUAUUUUUAUUAUAAAAUAAAUCUCGAAUUUAAAAGAUCUAAUUAAAAAUUUUAGUUAUUGUUGAAUUAAUAUUAUAAAUUUUAAAUUAGUAGUGAUAUGUUAUUCGGUUUUAAAUAUAUCUAGUUUUUUAAGAAUUGAAUUUAAAUUCAGCUUUAAAAUUAUUAUUUGAUUUAAUUUUUUAAUUAAUUAUAUUUUUAAGGUAAAUAUAUUAGGGAUAAACUUAAUAUAUUUUUUAUAAUUUUUAAUAAAAAUUUAUUUAUAAGUAUUUAUAAAAUUUAAUAUCUUUUUAAAAAAUUUUAUAAUUUAUAUGUAUAUAUAUAUAUAUAAUUUUAAAAUUAUUAUUUAAUUUUAUUUAUUAAAAAAAUAUAUUUAAUGUUUAUUUAUUUGUUAAAAUGAUUAAAUUAGUAAAAAUUGUUUGUUUAAAUAAUAAAUUUAAAUUAAUUUAUUUUAAGGAAUUAGACAAAAAAAUUUAUAUUUAAUUGUGUAUUUACCUGUUUAUCAAAAACAUGUCUUAUUGAUUAAAUAAUAAGUCUAUUCUGCCCAUUGAAUUAAAAUUUUAAAAGGCUGCAGUAUAUUGACUGUACAAAGGUAGCAAAAUAAUUAGUUUUUUAAUUGAAAACUUGAAUGAAAGAAUGAAUAAAAUAUAUAUUGUCUCAAAAUAAUUAUAUUUAAUUUAAAUAAAAAGUAAAAAUGCUUUUAUUUUUUUAUUAGACGAGAAGACCCUAAGAAUUUAAUAAUUAUUAAGGAUAAAUUAUUUUUGAAAUUGAUUUUUUAUUUUUAUGAUUAUUUUACUGGGAGGGUAAUUAAAAAUAUUAAACUUUAAUUUAAAUUUAACUUUGAUUAAUGAUUACUUGAUAAUUUUUAUAAUUAUAAGAAAUAAUUACCUUAGGGAUAACAGCGUAAUAAUUUUGGAGAGUUCAUAUUGAUAAAAUUGUUUGCGACCUCGAUGUUGAAUUAAAAUAAAAAUUAAAUGGAGAUAUUUAAAUUUUUAGUCUGUUCGACUAUUAAAAUUUUACAUGAUUUGAGUUCAGAUCGGUGUGAGCCAGAUCGGAUUUUAUCUAUAAAUAAUUAUAUAUUUUAUUGUACGAAAGGACUUAAAAUAUAAAAUAAUUUUUAUUUUAUGAUUAUUAUUAAUUAAUUAAUAAAUUAAAAUUAAAUUUUUAAAAUUUAAUAAUUAAAAAAUUUAUG